UACGUAGGGGGCUAGCGUUGUCCGGAAUCAUUGGGCGUAAAGCGCGCGUAGGCGGCCCGGUAAGUCCGCUGUGAAAGUCAAAGGCUCAACCUUUGAAUGUCAGCGGAUACUGCCGGGCUAGAGUCCGGAAGAGGCGAGUGGAAUUCCUGGUGUAGCGGUGGAAUGCGCAGAUAUCAGGAGGAACACCAACGGCGAAGGCAGCUCGCUGGGACGGUACUGACGCUGAGGAGCGAAAGCGUGGGGAGCGAACAGG
RNAcentral lists this ribosomal RNA (253 nucleotides) under uncultured bacterium. RNAcentral describes it as "partial 16S ribosomal RNA". It matches the Rfam family "Bacterial small subunit ribosomal RNA", at positions 524 to 776 of the family's 1533-position model. The record is from RNAcentral.